RNAcentral lists this long non-coding RNA (205 nucleotides) under Amborella trichopoda. RNAcentral describes it as "long non-coding RNA (ATRI_LNC003809)". The record is from RNAcentral. Lineage: Eukaryota; Viridiplantae; Streptophyta; Magnoliopsida; Amborellales; Amborellaceae.
GAUUACAAAAAAUUCAAUCAUGGAUUACAAAAAACUCUAUCAUGGGUUACAAAAAAAACAAAAAACAAAAAAUUCGAUCAUGGAUUACAAAAAAAAAACAAACAUUUCGAUCAUGGAUUACAAAAAACAAACAAACAUUUUGAUCAUGGAUUACAAAACAUUCGAUCAUGGAUUACAAAAAAUUCUAUCAUGGGUUACAAAAAAA